AAAGAGUUUUUUAGCUCUUUUUUAUUGUAAAAGAUGAGAUUACAUGUAAAUUUUUGUAUAAAAUAAAAUUAUUUUUAAAUAAGAAUAGAUUAAUUAAAAAUGUAUCGCAGUAAGAAAUAUUAUAUAUUUAGGAAACUAAGAUAUAGUUAUGAAUUUUAGUAUAGGCUAAGUUUGUGCCAGCAGUUGCGGUUAUACAGGCUAUACAACAAUAAAUUGUAGGAAAAGUAGUUAAUAUAAACAUAUAUAGGAAUAAAUAAAGAAAUUUAUUAAGUGAAAUUUUAAAUUUUUAUAAUUUUCUUUUUUGAAGCUAAAAAAUUUUUGUAUUAAACUAGGAUUAGAUACCCUAUUAUAAGAAAAGUAAAUUAUAAAAGUCCAAAUUAGUAGUAGUUAUGUUCUUGAAAAUUAAAAGAAUUGGCGGUAUUUUAGUCUAUUCAGAGGAACCUGUCCUGUAAUUGAUAGUCCACGAUUUUAUCUACUUAAUUUUUUAAUUUACAUAUCGCCGUAGAUUGAAUAUUUUUUUAGAAAUAUAAUAUUCAAGAUUUUGAUUAAGAGGAAAUCAGGUCAAGGUGUAGUUUAUGAUUAAGAAGAGAUGGGUUACAUUAAUUUUAAUUAUAUGAAUAAAUUUUUUUAAUAAAAUUUUGAAGGUGGAUUUGAGGGUAAUUUUAAAAAAAUAUUUAAAAUGAUUUUAGCUCUAAAAUAUGUACAUAUCGCCCGUCGCUUUCAUUAUAAAGUGAAAUAAGUCGUAACAUAGUAGAUGUACUGGAAAGUGUCUCUAGAAAGGA
RNAcentral lists this non-coding RNA (782 nucleotides) under Eucryptorrhynchus scrobiculatus. Lineage: Eukaryota; Metazoa; Arthropoda; Insecta; Coleoptera; Curculionidae. The record is from RNAcentral.